UUAACUCAAAUUUGUAUGGAGUUGGAACGUUUGCCGCUUGGGGCGCUGUUCCAACUGCAUACAAAUUCGAGUUA
This 74-nucleotide microRNA precursor is filed under the name Bombyx mori (domestic silkworm). Its description in RNAcentral is "mir-2807 microRNA precursor family". It matches the Rfam family "mir-2807 microRNA precursor family". Lineage: Eukaryota; Metazoa; Arthropoda; Insecta; Lepidoptera; Bombycidae. The record is from Rfam by way of RNAcentral.